Molecule: non-coding RNA, 1936 nt
Organism: Microcebus murinus (gray mouse lemur)
Lineage: Eukaryota; Metazoa; Chordata; Mammalia; Primates; Cheirogaleidae
Source: RefSeq, a predicted model, not a curated record
GUCUGAGAGACAGUGAACUGGCCCCCUGUUUAAAAAAUUUGAGGACCCCUGAUCUGCAUGCGUUGAGAGGCUCAGAACCCAGGAGAGAAGCCAGGGAGACAAAACCAGAUUGGGAGGACCUUCCACAGGCUCCCGUGUGCCCACCAUCUGCAAGCGUAAUCUUCUAGAAGGAAAGGAUCUCUGGGUGACGCUCCCCUGCUUUGGGGACACACGCCGGUACACUUGCAUUCGGUCACCUCUUCUCAACCUUCAGAGGCAGCUGGAGGUCACCAGGGCAUAGGUGGUCCUUGCUCAGCCUUGUUGCCCUGACAUCGUUACUUUUUCACAAGCGCCUGAAUUACAGCCACACUGAACUGGUCGAUUCCCUGAACCUGUCCCCAAGCAUCGCCUGUGUCUUUAUCUCUGAUGCCACCUGCCUACGUGGGACCCUCUCCAAGGCCAAUGGGAUGCCACCUUCUUCACAAAGCCAUUCCUGGACCCCUCGAAUGCACAUAACCCCCCACCCCCACCUCUUGUCUUGGUGGUGCUUAGAACCUCCCUUUUGCAUUUAUUUUGCAGAGGCAAGAAAUUAACACCAGUUGUGCUAUAUGUUGUUAUAAGGUCCAGGGGCGGGUUUUCCUCCGGGACGUGCAUCAGUCAUUUAUAUCCUGGAUUUUUGCUUUCUGCACCAGGGUGAGCGCUACGAAGGCAGCAUCUGUGUUUGACUCCCCCACCCAGGCUCCACGCCUGGAACAGGGUGAGUACCCAGUGCACGGUAGUCUGUUAUGCUUCGCGGGUCCGUACUGCCACUGUGAGCACACGGCCUUGCACACAACCUCCUUGGCCCCGUGUGUCUUUGCAAAUAGCUAUAAGGACACCUGAACUCAGCACUGCGCCCUGCCCCUCUGUCCACCCGUGGAAUGGGUUUCUCUUUGCAGUGAAACCAGGGGCAAGCAGAUUUUCCUUUUUUUGGUGGAUUCAUGAAAUGCCAGGUUUGCUGUGGGAAUCACUUGGGAGCUCAGUUUUGUGCCUUGAAGGAGACGGGUCACAGAUGCUAUAGAAUUGCCAGGACCUCGAUUUCGGCUUUAAGACCGCCUGCUCUCAUUAGAGUAGGCCAGGCCACCUUCUAAGCGAAGCUCUGGGUUUGUGGGACCCUUCCCCGUCUCCCGGCAAGCUGUAGCUGAGACUAAGAGCUGGCCAGUCCCCAUUUCCCAUUCUGUGUUAAGCCACCGUGCGGCGUGGUUUAGGACCCAGCGAGCGUCGCGCUGGUAGGCUGCCGCCACUUCCCAGCAGAAUCGAGCUUGUCACAUUCUUCUGUGGUGUUUUGGGAGAUUCUGCGCCCGUGGGCUGGAGGAGAAAUCCUAGAAUGCCUUCCGAAGAGGAUGUGCGUUGCCAAAACAGAAUUUAUAACUGCGUUGCCAUGGCAACCAACAUGUCACGUUUCCCUCGGCCUAAGAAUAUCUGAAGCUGAAGAUGCUGAGAAUAGCCUAAGUGGAACGGCCGGCGUGCUCCAGCCCCGUGGGGCAGGGGCUAAACCCACGCUCUGGCUCCUAAUCCGCUGCCUUUCCGUGGAUCUCUGCAAAUCCCUGACUCCUACUCUGAAUGUCACCGUGGGGACAUGGGCUUCCGACCCGGAGCAUCCUUCUCUUUUCCUCCCAUCCGAGUCACUAGCCGGGCCCGACCCUGCUUAGCUUCCAAGGUUAGAGGAGAUCAGGUGUGUUUGGGGGUGCCCGGGCCAUGGACCCCUUUCCUUCUGUGGUGUACGCAAGUGCAGAAUGCAGAUGUGAUGGCUGGAGCUGGAGCUGCCAUUUUGGACCAUGAGUUGAACUUAGCUGUGGAGGCCAUGCACUGUGGAACAACCAGAUGGAAGGACCUAACGCCAUCGGGUUUCAUCCCCGCCUAAAGUACCCACCUGACUUUCACAUGGAAGAGAAAUAAACUACCUGAGCCAGUGUUA